CGGGGGGCCUUACCAUGCAGUCGAGGGGUAGACCGCUUCUUGCUUUGAGACCGGCGCACGGGUGCGUAACGCGUAUGCAAUCUGCCUUUCGAGAGGGAUAGCCCACAGAAAUUUGGAUUAAUACCUCAUAGUAUUACCACUCGGCAUCGAGAUGUAAUUAAAGUCACAACGGUGAAAGAUGAGCAUGCGUCCCAUUAGCUAGUUGGUAAGGUAACGGCUUACCAAGGCGACAAUGGGUAGGGGUCCUGAGAGGGAGAUCCCCCACACUGGUACUGAGACACGGACCAGACUCCUACGGGAGGCAGCAGUGAGGAAUAUUGGUCAAUGGGCGCAAGCCUGAACCAGCCAUGCCGCGUGCAGGAUGACGGUCCUAUGGAUUGUAAACUGCUUUUGUACGGGAAGAAACACUCCGACGUGUCGGAGCUUGACGGUACCGUAAGAAUAAGGAUCGGCUAACUCCGUGCCAGCAGCCGCGGUAAUACGGAGGAUCCAAGCGUUAUCCGGAAUCAUUGGGUUUAAAGGGUCCGUAGGCGGUCUUGUAAGUCAGUGGUGAAAGCCCAUCGCUCAACGGUGGAACGGCCAUUGAUACUGCAGGACUUGAAUUAUUGGGAAGUAACUAGAAUAUGUAGUGUAGCGGUGAAAUGCUUAGAGAUUACAUGGAAUACCAAUUGCGAAUGCAGGUUACUACCAAUGGAUUGACGCUGAUGGACGAAAGCGUGAGUAGCGAACAGGAUUAGAUACCCUGGUAGUCCACGCCCUACACGAUGGAUACUAGCUGUUGGGGGCAACUUCCGUGGCUAAUCGAAAGUGAUAAGUAUCCCACCUGGGGAGUACCAACGCAAGUUUGAAACUCAGGGAAUUGACGGGGGCCCGCACAAGCGGUGGAGCAUGUGGUUUAAUUCGAUGAUACGCGAGGAACCUUACCAAGGCUUAAAUGCAGACUGACCGAUUUGGAAACAGAUCUUUCGCAAGACGGUUUACACGGGCUGCAUGGUUGUCGUCAGCUCGUGUCGUGAGGUGUCAGUUAAGUCCUAUAACGAGCGCAACCCCUGUUGUUAGUUGCCAUCUAGUCAGUCCGGAACUCUAACAGGACUGCCAGUGCAGACUGUGACGAGGUGGAGAAUGACGUCAAAUCCUUCAUGGCCCUAUACUCC
RNAcentral lists this ribosomal RNA (1154 nucleotides) under bacterium. RNAcentral's name for it is "bacterial SSU rRNA". It matches the Rfam family "Bacterial small subunit ribosomal RNA", at positions 40 to 1208 of the family's 1533-position model. The record is from RNAcentral.